GAAAUGUAUGAAGCAGAUGAGGCGCUUUACAAUGUGAGGCACCCUGAAUAUAAAAACAGAUUAAGAAGAUUGGAGAGUUAUAAAAAUAUGGCAAAGAUUAUCAGCCGUGACAUACGGCCAGGAUGUACGGCCGAGGAUAUAAAGAGGAAGAUAAAUGGCCUCCGUACUAGCUACUCCUACGAGAAAGCAACAAUGCAUAAAAGCAAAAGUGGAGCCAGUGCGCAGGCGGCGUAUACACCAUAAGUGUACUGGUUUCAAAUGCUGAAAUUUCUAGACCAGUCAACAGAGGCCGACGAGAGUAUGUGCAAUUUGGAGAGCACUGGAAGUGAACGUGCCACACCGACGUUUGAGGAAAUGUUUGCGCAUGAGAUGCAAGAGCCUGUCGCAUGUAGCGAGGCACAGCCACAGCCCCUGCGUCAAGAGUGGCCUCCCACUAAAAGGAGGAAAGUCACGCCAGACGUGGCAACUAACGUCAUGGAGGAGGCCAGCAGGACACUUCAGGCUAUGGCUGAUGCUGCCAGAACCAUGCCUGUCCAUGAAGACCGCUACAGUACCCUUGGCGCCCACAUCGCAGCAGAACUGCGUGAAAUGGAAAGGGUGGGCGGCAGGGAAUACACCACUGCCACUAUGCACAGAUAUAUGUAUGUAGAUACGUUUCAAAAGUCGUUCGGAAUGCGACGCAGAGUCGCAGUGUGGCCCCUCAAGGCGCAAAGUAACCCUGAUUUACGGGUGUCUUGUAGAAAAGCAGGGUCGAGUCUCCUGAUUUCACGUACAUAUGAACAAAUUUGUAGACAAUAUUCAUUUUCUCAUUCAUUACAGACUUGUGCAAUUUCUGUGCACAAAUGACAAUCAUCUUUUGAUGUUAACAGACGCAAUAGCAAUUUGUCACUUUUAUGAACUGAUGUGUUACACUUCAAGACAUGGACUUACAUUUUGGGGAAAUCAAUUGCUAGCAAUGAAAGUAUUCUUGGUCCAAAAAGUGUUGUAUGAAUAGUGAGUGGUGUUGCUUUUAAAUGUAGUUGUACAAAUCUUUUCUGGAAACCAAAAAGUCUUUUACUACUUCUCAAUUUAUAUUUUAACUUACGUGUUUCAUUGGUAAAAAUACUGGGUUGUACAAAAGAAAUAAUAUCACGAACACAAUACAAGGAGAAAGCAUUAUUUACACAGUGAUUGCAAGUCUGGCCGUGGUGCUGGAGUGUGUGCAGUAUACUGACACAAAAGUUUGAAAUGCUAUCCCUCCAGAUGUUAACUGUAAGUUUGGUAACAAGUCCAUUUUAAGAAGCCUCUGACCCCAUUUAUCCUGGAAAAGGUAUUUUACACUUCAGAUGUGUCUUUUAGUCGUAGAGAAAAAGCCGCAUAGAACUUAGCAAAUAUGCAUAUGAAUCAAUAUAAUGUAAGAUUGAAAACUUAUGUAGAUACGCGUUUUUUAUUUUUAAUUCUUUAUGUUUAGUUUAUGUAUAAUGUAACUGUGAUCUGGUAUGACAAUUUUCUUCUUUAUACCAUUAUUUCCCAUGUAUUGAUAUGUUUAGAAAGAGCAUACGGAUCGUCAUCUACAACUUAAAAGAAGACAUAUUCCCUAUCCUUAUGGGCUUGUCACAAAAGGAAAGAAAUAAAUAAAAAAGAAAUAAUAAGGACCCUAUAAAUGAUCAAACAA
This is a long non-coding RNA of Schistocerca piceifrons (Central American locust), 1654 nucleotides long. RefSeq lists it as uncharacterized. The record is from RefSeq and is a predicted model, not a curated record. The transcript has 3 exons. NCBI's taxonomy places the organism in Eukaryota, Metazoa, Arthropoda, Insecta, Orthoptera, Acrididae.